GAGUUCGCGGGAGAGUAAGUUAUUGCCAGGGUUUUUAUUUUGUACUUUAAACCUUAAAUUUAUUUUUUAUAUUUUUUUAAUGUUCAUGUUUUUGAAUGUUUUAUUCAAAUAAUGUAAAAAAUAAAAUAGAUAUUGACAUGGAUUGAGCAAAAGAUAUAUAUUAUUUUAUGUUGCAUAAACAAAUUGGCAAAAUAGAGAUGGAAGAUAAAAAUAUGGUCAAAGUAAUAAGAGUCUAUGGUGAAUGCC
RNAcentral lists this unclassified non-coding RNA (246 nucleotides) under uncultured Borrelia sp. RNAcentral's name for it is "partial 5S-23S ribosomal RNA intergenic spacer". The record is from RNAcentral. Lineage: Bacteria; Pseudomonadati; Spirochaetota; Spirochaetia; Spirochaetales; Borreliaceae.